This 456-nucleotide ribosomal RNA is filed under the name uncultured Glomus. RNAcentral describes it as "SSU rRNA". It matches the Rfam family "Eukaryotic small subunit ribosomal RNA", at positions 569 to 1031 of the family's 1831-position model. Lineage: Eukaryota; Fungi; Glomeromycota; Glomeromycetes; Glomerales; Glomeraceae. The record is from RNAcentral.
AGCAGCCGCGGUAAUUCCAGCUCCAAUAGCGUAUAUUAAAGUUGUUGCAGUUAAAAAGCUCGUAGUUGAAUUUCGGGAUCAAUAUGUCGGUCGUGCCUUCGGUACGUACUGGUAUCAUUGGUCUCUCCUUUCUGACGAACCAUGAUGUCAUUAAUUUGGUGUUAUGGGGAGUUAGGACUGUUACUUUGAAAAAUUAGAGUGUUUAAAGCAGGCUUUAGCUUGAAUACAUUAGCAUGGAAUAAUGAAAUAGGACGUUCGAACCUAUUUUGUUGGUUUCUAGGAUCAACGUAAUGAUUAAUGGGGAUAGUUGGGGCAUUAGUAUUCAAUUGUCAGAGGUGAAAUUCUUGGAUUUAUUGAAGACUACCUACUGCGGAAGCAUUUGCCAAGGAUGUUUUCAUUAAUCAAGAACGAAAGUUAGGGGAUCGAAGACGAUCAGAUACCGUCGUAGUCUUAACC